RNAcentral lists this long non-coding RNA (208 nucleotides) under Elaeis guineensis (African oil palm). Its description in RNAcentral is "long non-coding RNA (EGUI_LNC006883)". Lineage: Eukaryota; Viridiplantae; Streptophyta; Magnoliopsida; Arecales; Arecaceae. The record is from RNAcentral.
CUGGGAGUGGAGUUAGAUUGAAAAACUAAAUGGUGCAAUAUGCUGUCGAAAACAUCAUUCACAGCCACACUUACGAGUAGAUACCGGAUUGUGAGUGCUCCCCCAUUCUGUGGCUGCUAUCAAGCAGCGUAGUUUUGGAGUGCAUUAUAACUAUUGGCUAUGGGAAAACAGAGACUUGUGGAAUACCUUUUUUCCCCAUUAUUACUCC